Molecule: ribosomal RNA, 1459 nt
Filed under: uncultured bacterium
Lineage: Bacteria
Description: 16S ribosomal RNA
Rfam family: Bacterial small subunit ribosomal RNA
Source: RNAcentral
GACGAACGCUGGCGGCGUGCUUAAUGAAUGCGAGUCGAGCGAGAACCGGACUGAGGAAACCUUCGGGUGGAAUCAGUCUGGGGAGAGCGGCAAACGGGUGAGUAACACGUGGGUAACCUACCCCUCAGACGGGGAUAAUUCGCCGAAAGGCGGACUAAUACCCGAUGGUGAUGUGCCAACACAUGUUGAUACAUCUAAAGGCUCCGGUGCUGAGGGAGGGGUCCGCGGCCGAUUAGCCUGUUGGUAGGGUAACGGCCUACCAAGGCUUCGAUCGGUAGCCGGUCUGAGAGGAUGACCGGUCACACUGGGACUGAGACAUGGUCCAGACUCCUACGGGAGUUAGCAUCAGGGAAUCUUGCGCAAUGGGCGAAAGCCUGACGCAGCGACGCCGCGUGGGUGAUGAAGGCCUGCGGGUCGUAAAGCCCUGUCGGGAGGGAAGAAACAGCACCUUCGGGUGCUUUGACUGUACCUCCGGAGGAAGCCCCGGCUAAUUACGUGCCAGCAGCCGCGGUAAUACGUAAGGGGCCAGCGUUGUCCGGAAUUACUGGGCGUAAAGAGCACGUAGGCGGUUAGGAAAGCGAUAGGUGAAAUCCCCCGGCUCAACCGAGGAACUGCUUAUCGAACUGCCUGACUAGAGCACGGGAGAGGGCACUGGAAUUCCUGGUGUAGCGGUGGAAUGCGUAUAUAUCAGGAGGAACACCGGUGGCGAAGGCUGGUGCCUGGAACGUUGCUGACGCUAAGGUGCGAAAGCCAGGGGAACAAACGGGAUUAGAUACCCCGGUAGUCCUGGCCGUAAACGAUGGACACUAGGUGUUGGAGGUUCGACCCCUUCAGUGCUGUUAAGCUAACGCGUUAAGUGUCCCGCCUGGGGAGUACGGUCGCAAGGCUGAAACUCAAAAGGAAUUGACGGGGGCCCGCACAAGCGGUGGAGCAUGUGGGUCAAUGGGAUGAUACGCCGAGAACCUUACCAGGGCUUGACAUGACCCUGAUCCCCUGCGAAAGCAGGUCUUCUGGGCAACCAGACAGGGCCACAGGUGGUGCAUGGUUGUCGACAGCUCGUGUCGUGAGAUGUUGGGUUAAGUCCCGCCACGAGCGCAACCCUCGCCGGAUGUUGCCAGCGGUUAGGCCGGGCACUCUUCCGGGACUGCCGGAGUAAUCCGGAGGAAGGGGGGGAUGACGUCAAAUCUGCAUGCCCCUUAUGUCCUGGGCUGCACACGUGCUACAAUGGCGAGUACAAAGGGUCGCGAAGCCGCGAGGCCCAGCUAAUCCCCAAAAACUCGUCCCAGUUCGGAUUGGAGUCUGCAACUCGACUCCAUGAAGUCGGAAUCGCUAGUAACCGUGGAUCAGCAAUGCCGCGGUGAAUACGUUCCCGGGCCUUGUACACACCGCCCGUCAAGUCACGGAAGCCGACAGCACCCCAAGUCCGCUACGGCGGCCCAAGGUGAGGUCAGUGACUGGG